RNAcentral lists this ribosomal RNA (589 nucleotides) under uncultured bacterium. RNAcentral describes it as "bacterial SSU rRNA". It matches the Rfam family "Bacterial small subunit ribosomal RNA", at positions 338 to 946 of the family's 1533-position model. The record is from RNAcentral.
CCUACGGGAGGCAGCAGUGGGGAAUAUUGGACAAUGGGCGAAAGCCUGAUCCAGCAAUGCCGCGUGAGUGAUGAAGGCCUUCGGGUCGUAAAGCUCUUUUACCAGGGAUGAUAAUGACAGUACCUGGAGAAUAAGCUCCGGCUAACUCCGUGCCAGCAGCCGCGGUAAUACGGAGGGAGCUAGCGUUGUUCGGAAUUACUGGGCGUAAAGAGUACGUAGGCGGUUAUUCAAGUCAGAGGUGAAAGCCCGGGGCUCAACCCCGGAACUGCCUUUGAAACUAGAUAACUAGAGUCUUGGAGAGGUUAGUGGAAUUCCGAGUGUAGAGGUGAAAUUCGUAGAUAUUCGGAAGAACACCAGUGGCGAAGGCGACUAACUGGACAAGUACUGACGCUGAGGUACGAAAGCGUGGGGAGCAAACAGGAUUAGAUACCCUGGUAGUCCACGCCGUAAACGAUGAUAACUAGUUGUUCGGUCACUUGGUGACUGAGUGACGCAGCUAACGCAUUAAGUUAUCCGCCUGGGGAGUACGGUGCAAGNUAAAACCUAGAAAGAAUGAGCGUGAGAGUUGCGAGACGACGACGAGGAGAGG